GCUCCCGGAUGUUAGCGGCGGACGGGUGAGUAACACGUGGGUAACCUGCCUGUAAGACUGGGAUAACUCCGGGAAACCGGAGCUAAUACCGGAUAGUUCCUUGAACCGCAUGGUUCAAGGAUGAAAGACGGUUUCGGCUGUCACUUACAGAUGGACCCGCGGCGCAUUAGCUAGUUGGUGAGGUAACGGCUCACCAAGGCGACGAUGCGUAGCCGACCUGAGAGGGUGAUCGGCCACACUGGGACUGAGACACGGCCCAGACUCCUACGGGAGGCAGCAGUAGGGAAUCUUCCGCAAUGGACGAAAGUCUGACGGAGCAACGCCGCGUGAGUGAUGAAGGUUUUCGGAUCGUAAAGCUCUGUUGUUAGGGAAGAACAAGUGCAAGAGUAACUGCUUGCACCUUGACGGUACCUAACCAGAAAGCCACGGCUAACUACGUGCCAGCAGCCGCGGUAAUACGUAGGUGGCAAGCGUUGUCCGGAAUUAUUGGGCGUAAAGGGCUCGCAGGCGGUUUCUUAAGUCUGAUGUGAAA
RNAcentral lists this ribosomal RNA (532 nucleotides) under Bacillus pumilus. Its description in RNAcentral is "bacterial SSU rRNA". It matches the Rfam family "Bacterial small subunit ribosomal RNA", at positions 81 to 599 of the family's 1533-position model. The record is from RNAcentral. Lineage: Bacteria; Bacillati; Bacillota; Bacilli; Caryophanales; Bacillaceae.